UGGGGAAUUUUGGACAAUGGGCGCAAGCCUGAUCCAGCAAUGCCGCGUGUGUGAAGAAGGCCUUCGGGUUGUAAAGCACUUUUGUCCGGAAAGAAAACCUGUGGGCGAAUACCCUGUGGGGAUGACGGUACCGGAAGAAUAAGCACCGGCUAACUACGUGCCAGCAGCCGCGGUAAUACGUAGGGUGCAAGCGUUAAUCGGAAUUACUGGGCGUAAAGCGUGCGCAGGCGGUCCGUUAAGACAGAUGUGAAAUCCCCGGGCUUAACCUGGGAACUGCAUUUGUGACUGGCGGACUCGAGUAUGGCAGAGGGGGGUAGAAUUCCACGUGUAGCAGUGAAAUGCGUAGAGAUGUGGAGGAAUACCGAUGGCGAAGGCAGCCCCCUGGGCCAAUACUGACGCUCAUGCACGAAAGCGUGGGGAGCAAACA
Molecule: ribosomal RNA, 427 nt
Filed under: uncultured Burkholderiaceae bacterium
Lineage: Bacteria; Pseudomonadati; Pseudomonadota; Betaproteobacteria; Burkholderiales; Burkholderiaceae
Description: bacterial SSU rRNA
Rfam family: Bacterial small subunit ribosomal RNA
Source: RNAcentral